UGAUUUGUUCCUCCGUUUGGAAUGGCGCCUUCCUUCCCUGAGUACAUACAUACAACCAUCCAAUCUAUUUUCCCCGACAUAUAUAUCAAAAGUAAAAUUAAAAUGAUUUUUUCGCCUCUUCCAUGGAUCGCAGCUGGUCCUCCUCCUGAAGAAACCCUAAAUUGCUGAGAUAUUGGGAGAUUUCCAACGCAUGCUCCGUUAUAGAUUUGGCGUGUAUGUAUAAUAUUUGUUGAUGAGCUGAUGGAGAUAUCGGAAGAAGCGGUGAUAGUGAAUUCUAGUAGAUUAAAAUCGGUUGUGUGGAAUGAUUUCGACAGAAUUAAAAGGGGUGAAUCGUUUUCUGCUGUCUGUCGGCACUGUAAAAGAAUCCUUAGUGGGUCGAGUACCAGUGGGACAUCUCAUUUGAGGAAUCACUUGAUCAGGUGUAGGAGGAGAUCGAACCACGACGUAGCGCAGUUGUUAACAAGAGGGAAGAAGAAGCAGAGCACUCUUUCUGUUGCUAGUUUCAGUUACAAUCAAGCUUCGAUAAAGAAUGAGUUGGUCACAGUUGCUAGCACUAAUUCGGAUCAGGGGCUAAAAUUUGGAAGUAUGAAUGCUGGAAUUUACAAUUUUGAUCAGAGGAGGAGUCAGCUGGAUCUUGCACGAAUGAUCAUAUUGCACAGGUAUCCGCUAGGUAUGGUUGAGGAUAUCGGGUUCAAGUCAUUUGUUCGGAACCUUCAACCUUUGUUUGAUCUCGUGACGAUUACUGGAAUUGAGGCUGACUGUAUGGAAAUCUAUAGAAAGGAGAAGCAAAAAGUGUACGAGGGGUUGGAUAAGUUACCUGGAAAGGUCAGUCUUAGUGCCGAUCGGUGGGGUACUUGUGAUGGUACAGAGUAUUUAUGCCUGAUAGCACACUAUAUUGAUGAUUCUUGGGAAUUGAAAAAGAAGAUUUUAAACUUUUUGGCUGUUGAUCCUUCUCAAGCGGAAGACUCACUUUCAGAAUUAAUCAUAGCAAGUCUUAGGAGUUGGGAUAUUGAUCGAAAGUUGUUCUCAUUGACAGUUGAUAAUUGUUCGACCUAUGACAAAAUCACCGUUAGAGUGAACCAACAGCUCUGCCAGCACAGGUUUCUCAUGUGUGAAGGCAGUUUAUUUGAUGUACGAUGUGCAGCGAGUACAGUCAGAUUGUUUGUCCAAAUUGUCCUUGAAACAUCCCGCGAGAUAAUUAAUAAAGUCCGUGAGACCAUCCGGUAUGUGAGAGGCUCUCGAGAGAUACAAGAGAAGUUCAGCGAGAUAGUGCAGUUAGCCGGCAUCAACGGGCAGAAAUGUUUGUUGGUUGAUAAUCCCUUUCGAUGGAACUCAACAUACAUGAUGCUUGAAGCUGCUUUAGAGCACAAAGAAGCAUUUCCUCAACUGCAAGAACAUGACCCUGCUGGGUGCACAAUAUGUCCCUCUAAUAUAGAGUGGGACAGACUGAGAGCCAUUACGGGAAUCUUGAAGUUCUUUUAUGAAGUUUCUAAUGCCUUUCUCGGCCGCAAGCAUAUCACUGCAAAUUCGUACUUUGCUGAAAUAUGUGAUAUUCAUUUGCAACUGAUUGAGUGGUGUCAAAAGUCGGAUGACUUCAUAAAGGGUUUGGCGUUAGAGUUGAAAGGAAAGUUCGAUGAGUACUGGAAAAAGUGCGGCUUGAUUAUGGCAAUUGCUGCCAUUUUGGAUCCACGAUUCAAGAUGAAAUUGGUGGAGUAUUACUACCCUCAGAUUUAUGGAGACAGUGCCCCCGGGUGCAUAGAAAUUGUUUCGAAUUGUAUGAAAGUUCUUUACAAUGGUCAUGCCAUAUAUUCACCGUUAGCUGAUCAUGGGCAGAGCUUCUCCUCUGAAGGUAGAGGUGCAGUGAAGGAUAGACUUACCGGAUUUGACAAAUUCCUCCAUGAAAGUUCGAUUAGCCAAAACACAAAGUCAGACUUAGACAAGUAUUUGGAAGAACCCCUCUUUCCACGCAGUGUUGAUUUCGACAUACUCAACUGGUGGAAAGUUCACGAGCCUCGGUAUCCUGUGCUCUCAAUGAUGGCCCGGAAUAUACUCGGGAUUCCAAUAUCUAAAAUGGCGCUGGAAUCCCUGUACGACACCGGAGAUAGAACUCUUGAGGAUUGCUGGCGCUCGUUGAAGCCAGAUACAGUGCAAGCUUUGAUGUGCUCACAAGAUUGGUUGCGCAGCGAAUUAGAAGUAAUAGAUUCCAAGCAUUCUGAGGUUCCCGCCUUGUGUUAUGACACAAAUUCGUAAACUCCAUUUCCCGUAAGUUCUUCCUUGCAAAGCUGUAGAGCCUGGUUUUGAUAUAUUGCUUAAUCUUGGUGAAAUUUCGGCAUUUUCAAUCUGGUCUGGACCAUGUCGAUAUGAAUCUGACAUACAUACAUACCUUUGGAGAAUAUGUUUUCGGCAAGUUUUGGGCGAUGAAGUUAAUACCCUGCAUAAUAGGUUCGACAAGACAAAUUAUACUAGGCGAACCACGUGUGGCAGGUGAAUCGGGAGGUGUUCGUCCGAAAAAAGCAAAUCACACUAGGUGAAUCAGGUGUGGCAGAUGGAUCAGGAGCCGGCUUUGAAGGUUUUUAUUUUUUAGUUAUUAUUAUUAUUUGUUGUUGUUGAAGCCUUCGCCUUAGAGCAAAUGUAGUAGUUAAGUACAAAUGGUGCCUUAAUUCUUGCACCAAAGAUUUAACAAAAGACAAAAGUUAUAUUUGAGGAAAAAUCAAACCAAGGAAACUCACUCUUUCCAUUUCAGUACAAAGAGAAUUUAAUGAGGG
Andrographis paniculata is the source of this 2765-nucleotide RNA transcript. It is a transcript of the gene named zinc finger BED domain-containing protein RICESLEEPER 1-like, with no coding region annotated. The transcript has 5 exons. NCBI's taxonomy places the organism in Eukaryota, Viridiplantae, Streptophyta, Magnoliopsida, Lamiales, Acanthaceae. The record is from RefSeq and is a predicted model, not a curated record.